UUCUGGAGGUUAGACAUUAAUGGGGCAAGCUGGAUUACAUUGCUGUUUGCGUUCGGGCUUGCUUGCCAUUUGGUGUGAUUCAAUUCCUACCGAGAGAGGUAAGGAAGAUUCGUGUGUUGCUUGCACUCACAGCAGGGAUGUGAGCACUGAAGGGACUGCAGUGUGCCGGGGAGGUUUGGAAAAUCCUGCUCAGAAAGCUCUCAGGGAAGGUAAGGGCCCUAAUAAGGCAGCAGCUCAGGCCUGAACCUAGAGGAUUUUCUCCAAACCAAAACCCUACUGAAGCCUCAGCAUAAAGCCUAUGAUGAAGAAAGGAACUCACUUCCUAGCCAAAUUGGGGAUCAGAGACACCUCCUUCCCACACCCUACCCCAUCUCAAAUCUACCCCCACCUCCCACUGAAAGACAGAUUUUAAGCCCUUAACAGCCAGGUUCUGUGACUCUGUCACCACCGAGAUGCAUUACUGUCAUUGAAAUGAAGGAAUGAUGAGACCCACUCGGAUUUCAUGGGCAAAAUUCAGUAGGUUGUCUGGGUCCAACUAGUCACUUAACCUUUGAGUCUAUUUCGUCAUGUAUGAAAUUCUCAAGAAUAUUAACUGCAGUUAAGGUAUAAACUCAGAUACAUGUUUUCUCUUCAUCUCCUCCCUAAUAAUUGAACCAUUUUGUUACAGCAACUCAGGCAGAAUCUGAGAUGAACACCUGCGAACACUUUUUCCCUUGAGAGUGCCCUU
This 727-nucleotide long non-coding RNA is filed under the name Bos taurus (domestic cattle). Its description in RNAcentral is "long non-coding RNA NONBTAT012104". Lineage: Eukaryota; Metazoa; Chordata; Mammalia; Artiodactyla; Bovidae. The record is from RNAcentral.